UAUCGACGAGUUUGAUCAUGGCUACAGAACGAACGCUGGCGGCAGGCCUAACACAUGCAAGUCGAACGCCCCGCAAGGGGAGUGGCAGACGGGUGAGUAACGCGUGGGAACCUACCCUAAGGUGCGGAAUAGCCCAGGGAAACUUGGAGUAAUACCGCAUAAGCCCGCAAGGGGAAAGAUUUAUCGCCUUUGGAUGGGCCCGCGUCUGAUUAGCUAGUUGGUGAGGUAAUGGCUCACCAAGGCGACGAUCAGUAGCUGGUCUUAGAGGAUGAUCAGCCACACUGGGACUGAGACACGGCCCAGACUCCUACGGGAGGCAGCAGUGGGGAAUAUUGGACAAUGGGCGCAAGCCUGAUCCAGCCAUGCCGCGUGAGUGACGAAGGCCUUAGGGUUGUAAAGCUCUUUUGGCGGGGACGAUAAUGACGGUACCCGCAGAAUAAGCACCGGCUAACUCCGUG
This 458-nucleotide ribosomal RNA is filed under the name uncultured bacterium. RNAcentral's name for it is "bacterial SSU rRNA". It matches the Rfam family "Bacterial small subunit ribosomal RNA", at positions 1 to 507 of the family's 1533-position model. The record is from RNAcentral.